AUCGCCGCGCCGGCCGCCAACGGCCACUGCAACGGUCCCUACCGGGGAGGGCCGGCUUUUGCCGGCUUCCGGAGAAGGGAGGAAAGAGAGAGGUCGGGGCUUGGGGGCAGAGAAGGGCAUGGGAAAUGACCGGGGUGGGGUGGGGGGACUUGGGGGCAAGCCCCUCGGAAGCUCCAGCGGGUCCGGAGAUAAAGGACACCCGGGCGCAGCGGCCCUCUUCCCCUGCAGCGGCUCGGUCCCGGGUGGCGCUCACCGUGCGCGCGCGGAGGCCGCUGGAAAUCACGAGUGGGCAGCUGAGGGGGCAAGGGUGGUGGUCCCUUCCGGGCAGUGUCGCGCGCUCCGUGGGCGCAGGCCGCUUCGCCCUGUCCCGCUGCACCGAGAGCCGCUCCUAGUGAGGCGAGAGCCGGGAGCGGGAGGGACUUAGCCAGCCAGCAGCCCUCUGGGUCGCGAGGGGCGGGAGAAGCGGAGAGCGGGGGCCUUCGCGGCCGCUCGGGCUGCCCGGCGCGAACGCCUGCCCGGAAGAGGCCGCCCGCUAGCUUCUCCGCCGUCCCCCGGCCCCGGCGCUGUGGGGCGCCUCCUGGACGCAGGUUUACCUAACACUGUAAAGAGAACGUUCAAUGAAAUACAAAGAAAAAGAUGAUUUUUUUGCUCCAAGAGAAUUAUUCCAGCCUUGGGGUGGAGUGGGUGUGGACAGUGAGCAGAAAAACAAGAAACCAAGUUCUGGGAGGAAAUAAAAUGAAUAUAAUCAGUGGAAAAUUCAGCAACGCAAUAUUGUGUGACAACAGUAAAUGACCAAUUUAUAAUUUAAAUUCUAUGAAAAAGAGAUUUAGAAGAGAGUUCUACCAAACCCACUGUUCCCUAGGGAAUAAAAUGAGUAACGCUGACUGGCAACAGUGCAUCCUGAGGGAGCCUGGAGAAACAACAGCAGCCUCCGACCUCAAGAUAUCCUGGUUAGCUGCAAAGUCUGUUAUAUAUUCAUUCAAAUAUUUAUUAAGCACCUUACUGUGUGCUGGGAACUCUUAAGUGCUAGGGAUUAUGAACAAAACAUAUUUACAUGGAGCUUACAAUCUAAGUAAGGGGAAGACAAGUAAAUACAUGUCAGAUAGUGAAAUGGUAGAGAAAAGAAAAAACGGUGGUCAGGGAAAGCCUUACUGACAUUUGAGCUAGUACUGAAGGAAGUGAGGAAGAAGGCUAAGCAGCUACCUUGGAGGAGGAAUUUUCCAGGUAGAGGAAACACCAAGUACUAAGAUCUGAGACGGAGUGUGCUUUUUGGGUUCAAGGAACAGCACGGAAACCAUAGUGGCAAGAGCAGAGAGUAGGAGAUGAGGUCAAACAUAUUAAAGGGGGCUGGUCUUGUAGGGCCUGAAAGACCACGGUAAGGACUUUGGCUUUUGCUGCAUUAGAUGGGGAGUCAUAGUUUCAAAAUUUAGUCACCUAAACCAUCCUUAGCACUACGCUGAGCAAUUAUGCCAGGCCUAGAGGCUAGAAACGGAGAUGAUAAUCCUUUAGCUCCUUGCAACUCAAAGUUUAUUCAGCCCAACCUCUCUCACUACCACUAUCACUACUAUCUUGGACUGCAUAGCAGACUUAACUGAAUCUACAUUUUAACAAGAUCUUCAGGAGAUUUGUGUGUACAUUAAAGUUUCAGAAAUCACUGUUUUGUUCCUCGGAAUUGACCAAUGUCUAAAGUUUUAUUGGGAGACAUCCAAUCCAUCUAUGCACAUCCAUUCUAUGACUGCCUC
RNAcentral lists this long non-coding RNA (1742 nucleotides) under Homo sapiens (human). RNAcentral's name for it is "non-protein coding lnc-ABTB2-4:2". The record is from RNAcentral. Lineage: Eukaryota; Metazoa; Chordata; Mammalia; Primates; Hominidae.